Molecule: ribosomal RNA, 305 nt
Filed under: uncultured bacterium
Lineage: Bacteria
Description: bacterial SSU rRNA
Rfam family: Bacterial small subunit ribosomal RNA
Source: RNAcentral
CGUGGCCUACGGGAGGCAGCAGUGAGGAAUAUUGGUCAAUGGGAGAGAUCCUGAACCAGCCAAGCCGCGUGAGGGAGGAAGGUACAGAGUAUCGUAAACCUCUUUUGUCGGGGAGCAAAAGACGCCACGCGUGGCGUUCCGAGAGUACCCGAAGAAAAAGCAUCGGCUAACUCCGUGCCAGCAGCCGCGGUAAUACGGAGGAUGCGAGCGUUAUCCGGAUUUAUUGGGUUUAAAGGGUGCGCAGGCGGUCUGUUAAGUCAGCGGUCAAAGCCCGGGGCUCAACCCCGGCCCGCCGUUGAAACUGG